RNAcentral lists this ribosomal RNA (468 nucleotides) under uncultured bacterium. RNAcentral's name for it is "partial 16S ribosomal RNA". It matches the Rfam family "Bacterial small subunit ribosomal RNA", at positions 28 to 507 of the family's 1533-position model. The record is from RNAcentral.
GACGAACGCUGGCGGCGUGCUUAACACAUGCAAGUCGAACGGAAAGGCCCUGCUCUUGUGGGGUGCUCGAGUGGCGAACGGGUGAGUAACACGUGAGUAACCUGCCCUUGACUUUGGGAUAACUUCAGGAAACUGGGGCUAAUACCGGAUAGGAGCUCCUGCUGCAUGGUGGGGGUUGGAGAGUGUCGGCGGUUGGGGCUGGACUCGCGGCUUCUCAGCUGCUUGGUGGGGUAGUGGCUUACCAAGGCUUUGACGGGUAGGCGGCCUGAGAGGGUGACCGGGCACAAUGGGCCUGCGGUACGGCGCAGACGCGUACGGGAGGCAGCAGUGGGGAAUAUGACACAAUGGGGGGAAGCCUGAGGCAGCAACGCUGCGUGCGGGAUGACGGCCUUCUGGUGGUAAACCGCUUUGGCCUGUGACGAAGCGUUAUUGACGGUAAUGGGUAAAGAAGCACCGGCUAACUACGUG